Molecule: long non-coding RNA, 944 nt
Organism: Scatophagus argus
Lineage: Eukaryota; Metazoa; Chordata; Actinopteri; Scatophagidae
Exons: 2
Source: RefSeq, a predicted model, not a curated record
AUGUAACCCAGGUUAAAAUUCUGCAUUAAAAACAGUAAACUAUUAGUUCAUUGUUGCUGAAAACUGGGAUGGUUGCUAAAGAAAAGUGAAAAUUCAAAUUAAAAGGUAAUUCAUGAAUGGUGAGAUUUGUAUUAAAAAAUAAUUCAUGAAGUGUGUUAAUGUUUAAGACAAUUAUUUAAAAUUGAUGUUUGUCUUAAAAGCAACUGAACUGCGAAGAGAAAAUGAUAAAUAAAUAGGAAGUUUAUUUUGAAGGAGAAAGAUUGGAGAUGUGCCGUCAGCCAAUCUGGAAACAGCUUCGUUUUUGCUUUUCGCGGAGCGGAGUUGACGUCCUCUUGAGCUGCGGAGAGAGAGAGAGCGAUCCUCGUGUUGAGCACGAUACCUACCCCGUGAAGCUAAUGAAAUAAACGCUGGAAGAGACCAAUUAAAAUUAAACUAAAAACUCACUGAUAACCCGUGUGGAGCCUGGACCUGUGAGAGUGCCGUCGAAGAGACUUGACGUCCCUCACAAAGGAAAAAGCAUCGGUCAGGUUUUUUUGUUGGACCCCUUUGAGCCUUUGAUCUACCUGGAUGUUGGAGCUUCGGAUCGAGAUGUUGAUGGCGAGCUACAGCCCAGAGAGGAACUAAAGAUACGGCGCCUACAGAGGAUUGAGAGCCCGAAAUUCAGCACUACAUUACACACACACGCCUUCAGCGGUGCGGUAGGACAGACUCUCUCCACUUUCUCGGUGGACUGAUCAGAACUAAAACUGAAACUGAUUCAAAGUGACUGAAAGCAAGGGAAAUUGGAAAUUGUGAACUCUAAUAUAACUCUAAAUCACAGCUGUGAGUCUUCUUUAUACUUUAUUUUGGUUUUUACUUACCCGGGUAAGAAUUGUAAUAUUGUGUGUACUCAAUCUGUUUUAUCCUUCCCACAUUGUAAUAAAUAGGGAAGCGCUAUACGUUUC